This is a non-coding RNA of Gossypium raimondii (Peruvian cotton), 129 nucleotides long. The record is from Rfam. Lineage: Eukaryota; Viridiplantae; Streptophyta; Magnoliopsida; Malvales; Malvaceae.
UGUUAAAUAUUUUAUCAUUUUUAUUGUUAAAAAUUGAAAUGGUUGAUGAAAUAAUAAAACAGGUACACAAACCUUAUACUGAUGUACAAGAAUCAAUUUUUAAGAGUAAAAAUGGAUGAAACUUUAACA